AUGGCAAAAAAAAAUUAAAUCACCUCAAACAAUUUAGUACCCUUAGUUAAAAGUUGAGUACCUUGGGUUAAGAUGUGGGGCCCACCCAAAUUUUUUUCUUCUUCCUCCCCUUUUCUAAAUCAAACCCAAACAUUUCUCAUUCUCCAUUGAAGCGCACCCAACAUUCUCCAUUAAAGCGCACUCAACGUUCUCCAUUAAAGCAGUUUCUGAGGGUUCUCCUAAGCUCCACAACAUCCUCUAUUUCUCGGCUUUCGAUUGAUCAUCCUCCACCGUCGUGUAGGUGAAAUAAUGAGUUUUGAUGACUUGUAAGUGUUUGAUUGGUGAAAUUAGAGUAAAAAAUUAGAAUUUUAUUGAUUUUGAAACGCCCAAAAAUGCUUGAUUAGGAUUUUGCUGAACAAAAUUGAUGAACGGCGAUGGCGCGGAUGGUGAAGGAAAGAAGAAGAUUGUGGGUUUUGAGGAUUUGAGAUGCGUGGGUUAUUGAUUAUGCUUCUUUUUUAUUUCUUUGUCAAAAAAAUACAAGGCUACUGUAAGUCUGUUAUAAAGAUUGCUACAAUCUCUAUUGAAAAUCAAGUAUUGCUUUGGCCUCUUCUUCUUUUUUUUUUUUUUUUCAUACAAUCUCUAUUGAAAAUCAUCAAUCUGGGCUGAGUUUCUGAUUUUGCAAUUCUUCAAAUGUAGAUGGAUAACAGAGGACUGAAUCACACACUAGAUGAAGCAGCAUUUUUUUUCAAUUUUGGACAAAUCAUGGAUGAUGAAACAGUUGAAUUAAUUAAUGUUUUUUUUAAUUUUAAUUUAAUUAGUUUUUUAAUUAUGUAUGGUUUAUGGUGAGUUAAGGGUGAGUUAGUUGGCCUGAAAAGGUGAAAAAAAUCAAGAAUUGAGGGCCUAAUUGUUGACUUAACUCAAACUAUUGGGGAAGGUAGAUUACAAUUUUCAUAGUACAACCUAUACAAUAGUUAUAAAUCUACAGAUAAGCAUGUUUUUUUUUUUUUUUUUUUU
Chenopodium quinoa (quinoa) is the source of this 993-nucleotide long non-coding RNA. RefSeq lists it as uncharacterized. NCBI's taxonomy places the organism in Eukaryota, Viridiplantae, Streptophyta, Magnoliopsida, Caryophyllales, Amaranthaceae. The transcript has 2 exons. The record is from RefSeq and is a predicted model, not a curated record.